UAGGGAAUCUUCGGCAAUGGACGAAAGUCUGACCGAGCAACGCCGCGUGUGUGAAGAAGGUUUUCGGAUCGUAAAACUCUGUUGUUAGAGAAGAACAAGGACGUUAGUAACUGAACGUCCCCUGACGGUAUCUAACAAGAAAGCAACGGCUAACUACGUGCCAGCAGCCGCGGUAAUACGUAGGUGGCAAGCGUUGUCCGGAUUUAUUGGGCGUAAAGCGAGCGCAGGCGGUUUCUUAAGUCUGAUGUGAAAGCCCCCGGCUCAACCGGGGAAGGUCAUUGGAAACUGGGAGACUUGAGUGCAGAAGAGGGGAGUGUAAUUCCAUGUGUAGCGGUGAAAUGCGUAGAUAUAUGGAGGAACACCAGUGGCGAAGGCGGCUCUCUGGUCUGUAACUGACGCUGAGGCUCGAAAGCGUGGGGAGCAAACAGG
This 429-nucleotide ribosomal RNA is filed under the name Gemmatimonadota bacterium. RNAcentral describes it as "Gemmatimonadetes bacterium partial 16S ribosomal RNA". It matches the Rfam family "Bacterial small subunit ribosomal RNA", at positions 355 to 776 of the family's 1533-position model. Lineage: Bacteria; Pseudomonadati; Gemmatimonadota. The record is from RNAcentral.